This 71-nucleotide transfer RNA is filed under the name Camelus bactrianus (Bactrian camel). It matches the Rfam family "tRNA". From Rfam's summary of the family: Transfer RNA (tRNA) molecules are approximately 80 nucleotides in length. Their secondary structure includes four short double-helical elements and three loops (D, anti-codon, and T loops). Further hydrogen bonds mediate the characteristic L-shaped molecular structure. tRNAs have two regions of fundamental functional importance: the anti-codon, which is responsible for specific mRNA codon recognition, and the 3' end, to which the tRNAs corresponding amino acid is attached (by aminoacyl-tRNA synthetases). tRNAs cope with the degeneracy of the genetic code in two manners: having more than one tRNA (with a specific anti-codon) for a particular amino acid; and 'wobble' base-pairing, i.e. permitting non-standard base-pairing at the 3rd anti-codon position. Lineage: Eukaryota; Metazoa; Chordata; Mammalia; Artiodactyla; Camelidae. The record is from Rfam by way of RNAcentral. RNAcentral also lists the same sequence under 2 other names.
GAGGAUAUAGCUCAGUGGUAGAGUGAGUGCUUAGCACACAUGAGGUCCUGGGCUCAAUCCCCGGUACCUCU